UACGGGGGGGGCAAGCGUUGUUCGGAAUUACUGGGCGUAAAGGGUUUGUAGGUGGCUUGUUAAGUCAGACGUGAAAUCCCUCAGCUUAACUGGGGAACUGCGUCUGAGACUGGUGAGCUUGAGUGCAGGAGAGGAACGCGGAAUUCCAGGUGUAGCGGUGAAAUGCGUAGAUAUCUGGAGGAACACCGGUGGCGAAGGCGGCAUCCUGGACCAAUUCUGACGCUGAGGAGCGAAAGCCAGGGGAGCAAACGGG
This 253-nucleotide ribosomal RNA is filed under the name uncultured bacterium. RNAcentral's name for it is "partial 16S ribosomal RNA". It matches the Rfam family "Bacterial small subunit ribosomal RNA", at positions 524 to 776 of the family's 1533-position model. The record is from RNAcentral.